UAAAGAUGGAGUUGUGUAUAGAAAGUACAAGAGCGUUAAGUGUAGUAUGAAAUAAUGUGAGAGAUGGCAGAUAAAGGUAUAGAGAAGAGCGUAUCAGGGGAAGGAAAGACCCACUGUAAGAAACGAAGAAAAACGAAGCGGAAGGUAUACAGUCUUGGGUCUUCAAGGUUUACUGGGAUUGUGGUGGAUCUUGGGAGCGGAUGAUGGUAUUCAUAAUCUUGGGUGACAAUUCAAGCCAGGUUUGCAGAAUAAGAGAUGGCAGCAUAUCUCCAUAUCUCCAGAAUGGACGAGGUGGUAGAUUUUUUCAGCAUGUAGGAGGUACUUCUAGCGGGAGGUGUAGUUAGCACUGAAGUUGAUGUUGUCUUUAAGAUGGUCGAGGAGGAAGGGAAAACAAUUGGACAGACGUCCCUUCUAUUUUUAAAGCUUGGAGUGUAAUAUAAAUAAGAAAGGCUAAUGGGGAAGAAACUAAGAAAUUGGAAUGAUAAAAAUAUAAAUAUAAUAAUAUAUARGGAGGUAAAUAUAGUGAAAGGGUAAGCUAAACGAGAGCGGUGAAGCCGCUGAAAAAGGAACGAGAAAAUAAUAAUAUAAUAUAGUAAUAAUAAUAUCAUAGCAUAAAAAUAUAAUAAUACUACCAUGAUAUGGUAUAUAUUUUAUAUAUAUAUAUAUAUAUAGUAAAUGUGUAUUAUGUAAAAGAUGUAUUAAUAGAAGGAGGUGUAAACGGUUGUAGAUUGAAGUAAUAAAAU
This is a long non-coding RNA of Actinia tenebrosa (Australian red waratah sea anemone), 743 nucleotides long. RefSeq lists it as uncharacterized. Lineage: Eukaryota; Metazoa; Cnidaria; Anthozoa; Actiniaria; Actiniidae. The record is from RefSeq and is a predicted model, not a curated record.